RNAcentral lists this long non-coding RNA (869 nucleotides) under Gossypium barbadense (sea-island cotton). RNAcentral's name for it is "long non-coding RNA (GBAR_LNC018273)". Lineage: Eukaryota; Viridiplantae; Streptophyta; Magnoliopsida; Malvales; Malvaceae. The record is from RNAcentral.
UCACCUUUACUUAUAUAAAAUUUAAACCUAUAAUUUAACUCAUGAACUUAUACAAGAUUAUACUUGUAUAUUCGAAACUAUCAAAUACUUAUAUAAAAUUUAUACUUAUACUUCAAAUUAUAAACAUUUAAUUACAGCUCAUCAAGUAUACAAUCGAUAUACAUGUAUAAAUAUUGAUUUAUUAACUUUUAAAUUGCUAAUAGACUUACCUCGGAUAUCGACGGACAUAGUCGACUACUUUCGACUUUCCCCGAUCUAAUUCCGUUUUCUUCUGUUCUUGAUUUAAAUAAGUUCAAAUUUAACUAAUUUAACCAAAUAUUCAUUUAAUUAAAUCCAAAAACACAUAAAUGGGUAAAUUACACUUUUUCCCCUAACAUUUCACAUUUUUCACAAACUAGUCCCUAUUUCACAAAAAUACAAAAUAAACAAACUUUCCUUGCACAAUAGCUUGGCCGAAUAUGCACUAAGCUCAUAUAAAUCCAUGCAUGUCAUUUAUUUCACAUUUUAGUCCCUCAAUUUAUUAUUUUUGCAAUUUAGCCUUAAUUACUCAAAAUCAUCAAAAAUUCAAUUUCAACAUAUAUAUAUAUCCAUUUCAUAUAUUUUAUUUUCUAUCAUUAAACAACAAAAUUACAAGCUUUCAACAAUGGCAAAACACAAAAUCAUCAUCAAAUUCAAAAAUUUAAGCAUGAGUCGAGUAGUAUUCGAAACAACGAUCUCAAAAACAUAAAAAUCAUCAAAAACCGAAACCGAAACAUACCUUAAUUUGCUUGAGCAAGGGCCGAAUACCUAGCUUGGUUUUCUUAUUUUCUUUCUCUUUUCAUUCGGCACAAAGAUAAUGAAUAUGACCACUUUCUUAUGUUUUGUUUUUA